Molecule: ribosomal RNA, 253 nt
Filed under: uncultured bacterium
Lineage: Bacteria
Description: partial 16S ribosomal RNA
Rfam family: Bacterial small subunit ribosomal RNA
Source: RNAcentral
UACGAAGGGGGCUAGCGUUGUUCGGAUUUACUGGGCGUCAAGCGCACGUAGGCGGAUUGUUAAGUCGGGGGUGAAGUCCUGGAGCUCAACUUCAGAAUUGCCUUCGAUACUGGCUUUCUAGAGGCUGGAAGAGGUUAGUGGAAUUCCCAGUGUAGAGGUGAAAUUCGUAGAUAUUGGGAAGAACACCAGUGGCGAAGGCGGCUAACUGGUCCAGAUCUGACGCUGAGGUGCGAAAGCGUGGGGAGCAAACAGG